GACGAACGCUGGCGGCGUGCUUAACACAUGCCAGUCGAACGGACAGGCCCUGCUUUUGUGGGGUGCUCGUGUGGCGAACGGGUGAGUAACACGUGAGUAACCUGCCCUUGACUUUCGGAUAACUUCAGGAAACUGGGGCUCAUACCGCAUAUGAGCUCCUGCUCCAUGGUGUUGUUUGGAAAGUUUCGGCCGUUCGGGAUGGACUCGCUGCUUAUCCGCUUGUUGGUGUGGUAGUUGCUUACCAAGGCUUUGACGGGUAGCCGGCCUGAGAGGGUGACCGGCGACAUUGGGACUGAGGGACGGACCAGAAUGGAACGGGAGGCAGUAGUGGAGAAUAUGGCAGAGUGGGCGGAAGCGUGAGGUAACAACGCCGCGUGCGGGAUGACGGCCUUCGGGGGAUGAACAGCUUUCGAAGGAGACGAAGCGUGAGUGACGGUAAUGGGUAAAGAAGCACCGGCUAACUACGUG
This 468-nucleotide ribosomal RNA is filed under the name uncultured bacterium. RNAcentral describes it as "partial 16S ribosomal RNA". It matches the Rfam family "Bacterial small subunit ribosomal RNA", at positions 28 to 507 of the family's 1533-position model. The record is from RNAcentral.